Mustela erminea (ermine) is the source of this 409-nucleotide long non-coding RNA. RefSeq lists it as uncharacterized. NCBI's taxonomy places the organism in Eukaryota, Metazoa, Chordata, Mammalia, Carnivora, Mustelidae. The transcript is spliced from 3 exons. The record is from RefSeq and is a predicted model, not a curated record.
CAGGAUUAAGGACCCCUGUUGUUUUACAGGAAGUAAAUAAAUCCUUAUGGUAUUCUGGAAACCUCAGAAGUAUAUAAGAGUGUGUAGCUCAGACGCAAACCACAUGAGUUUGGCCUAUUGAUUUGGAAAUAUGAGACAUGACAAAUCGCUGUUUUUCUAAACUGGAAACCGAAGAAAUUGUACACUUCCUCAAGAAUUACACACUUGAGCUCAGAAGAAGAAUCUCUUAGCCUCAGCCCUACUGGUAUGUUGGGCCAGAAAAUUCUUUGUCAUGGGAGCAUUGCCUGUGAAUGGUAGGAUGCUUAGCUGUAUCCUUGGCCUUUACCUGCUAGACACCAGUUUCAUCCCUGGCAAUCAGAAUUGUCUCCAGAUAAUGCUAGCUGAUGUCUCCAGGGGAAAAAAAAAAUCA